UACGUAGGGUGCAAGCGUUAAUCGGAAUUACUGGGCGUAAAGCGUGCGCAGGCGGUUAUGCAAGACAGAUGUGAAAUCCCCGGGCUCAACCUGGGAGCUGCAUUUGUGACUGCAUAGCUAGAGUACGGUAGAGGGGGAUGGAAUUCCGCGUGUAGCAGUGAAAUGCGUAGAUAUGCGGAGGAACACCGAUGGCGAAGGCAAUCCCCUGGACCUGUACUGACGCUCAUGCACGAAAGCGUGGGGAGCAAACAGG
This 253-nucleotide ribosomal RNA is filed under the name uncultured bacterium. RNAcentral's name for it is "partial 16S ribosomal RNA". It matches the Rfam family "Bacterial small subunit ribosomal RNA", at positions 524 to 776 of the family's 1533-position model. The record is from RNAcentral.